This 1084-nucleotide unclassified non-coding RNA is filed under the name Hevea brasiliensis (rubber tree). Lineage: Eukaryota; Viridiplantae; Streptophyta; Magnoliopsida; Malpighiales; Euphorbiaceae. The record is from RNAcentral.
CUUCUCUUUCCUCUACUUUACUUCCUCUACUAUCCAACCAUUGCACAUCCCUUUUGUCAUUGUGAUAAAAACUACUAUGGCUGAAAAGCCAUUUCUUGUGAUUACAAAUGCCCAAUUCUAAAAUAUCGUGUCAAAAGGCUAAAAUUCUGAUACACAAUGGCCGAUAGAUUAUGCAUUGGCCAUAGUUUAGACAGCUUGCUUACAAAGCUGAUGGUUGCUACUGGUCCCAUAGAACCCCAUUUAACCGUACUUUCAAGGUUUUGCUUACAAACUCCCUUAUUCUAAACAGAACUUUGAGAAAUAGCAAGGGAAAGCAAAUGUUCUCUACAAAUAGCAUUUUUUGCACUUGAAGUUUGCGCACAAAGCUUUACAAGCUACUAAAGUCACUGCAGGCCUGCAAUUAACUAUCCCUUGAAGUUUUACGAACUUCUCCCACACCGCACACAUAAAGAAAAAUUUAAAAUCACAAGUCUCAUUGCCAAUCAGAGAGGGAAGGGCAGAACCAUAAGCAAAGAGGUCUUAUUUGUCACACAUAACAUUUAUCAAACAAAGACAGUUGAAAACCAAGGGAGUGGUGAUGCCAUACACGAGAAGGUGGUAGAUAUCCGCAGUUAUCUUCCUUUCAUUCUUUCUUUUGCUUCCUAAUUUCCCAUCCCUUUAUUACAGACUCUAUAACCUAUCUUGUUUACAAUUGAUUUUCUAGUAUAGUGACGAUUGCAAACUGAUAUAAAUGCAUAGUGCAAACUAAUACAAACACACACAGAGGCACAUCUUUCACACUUAACAUUCAUUCCUUAACAUCAAAAUAAGACCCCCCAACAUUCAUUAGUCAAUUUUCAAUGGUUAAAUUCAUUCCAUAAGCUAUAUAUUGUAUGUCUGAUGAAAUAUGAAUGUAAAUCUAAUAAUAAACAUAACAUAAAGUGCACACUAGAAAAGUCAUUGAAAGAGUACAAAUUAGAUUCAAAGAGAAAAAGAUAAAAGGGUCAAGUAAAUUACCAAUUGCAUGAGAUAAAGAUUUCAGGACAGCAGUGGGAGAAGCAAACGGACCAAAUGUAAUGACAGGAUAUGAGGCUGAAGCAAUGAA